This 4477-nucleotide long non-coding RNA is filed under the name Malus domestica (apple). Its description in RNAcentral is "long non-coding RNA (MDOM_LNC017668)". The record is from RNAcentral. Lineage: Eukaryota; Viridiplantae; Streptophyta; Magnoliopsida; Rosales; Rosaceae.
GUCAGGAUGCAUGCGACAUUUUUGGGAAAUGAUGGUCUUGGAUAAUGAUGACAAGCCUAGGUGGGCUAGGCAAUAAUGAUAAGAAGACUUUUAAUUGGAUAGGUUUUUAUGAGGUUUAGAAAAUCAGGAAAGUCUAUCUAAAGGAUAUGCUUUGGUCUCUGAGGGUUAAUUUCGGUUCCGCGAAGUAUGAAUUGCAGUGGGAGUCUACAAGUUAUCAGGCCGUGCCAAGGAAAUAUGGAUGCUAUAAAUACAGAGUUGCAAGCAACAUUCAAGCCCCUUUAAUUAAACACACAACUGCCCUGAGCAAAUUCUCUCAACAACCUUGAGAAUUUUUCUUUUCUCUUUUCGCCGACACACCUACAUUUUGGAUAAACAGUACUGUGAAGGCAACCGGUGAUAUCUUCAGUUGGCAUAAAUAGCACUGUUGCCGUAGAAUCAGCCGAUCUUGUAGCAUCUUUAGUUGGCAUAAACAACACUGCGUCGAGAGGGACUAGUUGUCUAUCCAAGUCUCCGUCGAGAAGGAUUUUCGAAUCCUUAUUGAUUGAGGUCAUCUCAUCACCCUUCUCAACGAAGUAAGGUGUUACAGCUUAUUGGGCUCGGCACAUUGCACGUCGAGUUAUUUUAUGAUUGGAUACUCUCAAGUUGGAUUUAGAGUUCGGCAUUUCAAUGGUCGAACCACGUUUACUGUUAAGACUUAUAUCCGCUUUGAGUAUUUGUGUCCUUACACUUGGUGUCGAUUCGGCGUGAGUUUACUCUGACGAAUACCAUCACUGUGACUGAAUCUGACGACGACGAUUUGUGAACUUCGUAAGAAUAAUAGCCUUGUCUUCAGGUUCGAGAGCCGAGACGGUUCCUUCGUCGGUCGCAAUCGCAAGACGAAGUCAGCUGCACGCUCAACAUAACGUCAACACAUUUACUCAUCAGCCGAGCUCGGUCGUCGAGUUGGCAUGCCCCGCAUUCAAUCGAAUGACGUAGUUAGCUCAUAGAUUACUCGACAUACACGCCACGUAGGCUUGGUAGUUUUUAGGGUCAACAUUUUGGCACACCUAGUGGGACCCAGUGCUAGAACUACGAAGUUCAUAUGAUAUAUCAAGAUGUCAAUCUGGCUUCAUGUAGCCGAUUGUACGAGCUCCUAGAGGAAUUAAAAAAACACAAUGAGGAAUGUAAAAGAUCUUUGAAAGUGGAAAAAGUUCUUCGUGGCCAUAGAAAGAUGCAAAAACCAUUUGCUUACAUGUUGAGAAUAAAAGCUCUUGUUCCCCUGCAAGAGCAAUGGGUAAAUGAGGACAGGGCUCGAUUUAAUGUCUGGCUAGAUAAAGAACGUUUUCCUUACAUUUCUUACUACAGAUCAAUUCCAUUUGAAAAAUGGUUAAGUCCUAAGGUCGGGGGGCAAUUUUUUGUUUCGGCCACAAUCAAAAUUCGACCUCAGGAAAUUUCCAAGACGGCCGAAGAAACACAUAGGCCACAUGUUGUCUCGGUCAAGACUGAAAGUGUGGUAGGCCUAGAAGAAAAAGUUCAAAUUUCUGAGUCACAAAUUAACUUGGAAAAUGAUUCGUCAGAUGAGUGUUCCAAUGACGAACAAGACUGAUACACGGCUUCAGACCGUAAAACCACAUCAAUUGAUAUGGUAAUUGGAGACAUGGUCUUAGACACCGAAAUUACGCCAAUUGACAUGAUUAUUGGUGAUAAAGCUGAUAUGGGGAAAUCUCGUUCGGCUAAGUUGUUCGAGUUAAAAGCCGAAAUCGGUGAAAUUAUUAUGCCCGGGGGGCAUACUAAUUGUUCAACACAUUUGGUGGCCGAUGUUAAAAAAUCUUUUGUCAAGCCGAGCAUAUUUGGAGAUGAUUUUUUAUUCGGCUCAAUGCAAAAUUUGAUUGGCUAUGUUGAUAUACAAAGAUCUCAGCUUGGAAUAAAACAUCGUUGGCCUCCUCCUCUUUAUUACUUCGGCCACUUGUGUUUUCUUUUAUUAAGAAAAUGAAUAAAUUAUUUUCUUAAUCAUUUGGCUAAUUAAGCCGAUACUUAAGAAAAUAAAGGGGGCAACAAGAUGGUGCAGACUUAGGAAAACAAGAUGGUGUGGACUUAAAAAAAAAAAAAAAAAAAAAAAACCGAAAGGAAUAAAUUAUUUUUCUCAACCAUUCGGCUUUAUGGGCCGAUACUUGAAAAAUAAAGGGGGCAACAAGAUGGUGUACUUGGUAGACAAUUUUGGUCAAAUAAUGGUGUACUCGGCAGACAAUUUUGGUCGAAUGAAUUUAUGGGAGCAUGCAUGGUUGCAAAGCUUGUAUAUAGAUAUGUCAGAAUGACCCAUCAACAACAUCCCAUCACAUGAAACAAAAAGAGAGACACAUACGAAAAAGACAAAGGAAAGUUCAUGAAAUUAUGGUAGGCUUCCACGUGGGCUAGCCUUUUCGUUUGGUGAUGUAGUGAUCUGUGAAUUCCUAAUAGCAUUAUUUGGCCGAAUACAAUUCUUUGGCCAAAUAAAAGAAAGUUCGGCCGAAUACAAUGGGUUAUAUAUAUAUAGGCUCUACACCCAAUUCUUCUCGGCCUCGGCCUUGGCCGCACCAUAUGUCGAGCUCGAUAGUUAGUUCGAAGGUAUCUAAUGGUUUUUAAGACGACUGAAUGAGGUGGCGUGGUUUUAUUUGUAUGACGAGCUAGUUUGAUUUGGUGAAACUGCUGGUGUUUGGCCAAACACCAUCUCAAGUCGGUGGAAUGGAGCCGGCCGAGGUGCCAUUUAGCGUUCGGCGGAAGUAUGGGCGUUUUAAGUAUUCUAUUCGGAAGAAUUAUGAAGUGUUGUGAUGCUUAGUUUCUUUAACCAUUCGGCUUACGAGCCGAAGCUCAAGGAAACUGGGGGGCAAUGUUUGGACCCAAUUUUACAUCAUCGGUUCGAGUAAUCAAGGUUGUUGAGUAGGCAUACUUCUACACCGUCGAUAAAAAAAUGAAGAUAUUUUUGUUAUUGUUAAAGGAUAAUAUUAUGGUUUUUGCCAUAGUAAUUAUCUUUUAAUUAUCCGAUCAUUAUAUCUUCAAACAUGGACAGUUCGAGUAAACUUGGGAUUCCUGCUAUCAAAUUGGAGAAGCAUGGUGGAUAAGGUUUGAAAGGUCAAGGUGCAUGAAUGGGAUGAAAUUAUGAGGGGAUUAAUGCAAGCAAUGGGAUACCAAGAUACGGAAUGCAUCCAGAUGGGUUUUUGAGUAAAACACAAUUAAAAAUUAAUUUAAUACUCAUGGGGUCAGGAUGCAUGCGACAUUUUUGGGAAAUGAUGGUCUUGGAUAAUGAUGACAAGCCUAGGUGGGCUAGGCAAUGAUGAUAAGAAGACUUUUAUUUGGAUAGGUUUUUAUGAGGUUUAGAAAAUCACGAAAGUCUAUCUGAAGGAUAUGCUUUGGUAUCUGAAGAUUAAUUUCGGUUUCGCGAAGUAUGAAUUGUAGUGGGACUCUACAAGUUAUCAGGCCGUGCCAAGGAAAUAUGGAUGCUAUAAAUACAGAGUCGCAAGCAACAUUCAAGCCCCUUUAAUUAAACACACAACUGCCCUGCGCAAAUUCUCUCAACAACCUUGAGAUUUUUUCUUUUCUCUUUUCGCCGACACACCUACAUUUUGGAUAAACAGUACUGUGAAGGCAACCAGUGAUAUCUUCAGUUGGCAUAAACAACACUGUCGCCGUAGAAUCAGCCGAUCUCGUAGCAUCUUUAGUUGGCAUAAACAGCAUUGCAUCGAGGGCGAAUGGUUGUCUAUCCAGGUCUCGGUCGAGAAGGAUUUUCGAAUCCUUAUUGGUCGAGGUCAUCUCAUCACCCUUCUCGGCGAAGUGAGGUGUUACAACUCAUUGGGCUUGGCACAUUGCACGCCGAGUUAUUUUAUGAUUGGAUAUUCUUAAGUUGGAUUCAGAGUUCGGCAUUUCGACGGCCGAACCACGUUUACUGUUAAGACUUAUAUCCGCUUUGAGUAUUUGUGCCUUUACACUUUGGUGUCAAUUCGGCGUGAGUUUACUCUGACGAAUACCAUCACUGUGACUGAAUCCGACGACGACGAUUUGUGAACUUUGUAAGAAUAGUAGCCUUGUCUUCAGAUUCGAGAACCCAAGAGGCCGAGACGUGUUCCUUCCUCGGUCGCAAUCGCAAGAUGAAGUCAGCCGCACGCUCAACGUAACGUCAACACAUUUACUCAUCGGCCGAGCUCGGCCGUCGAGUUGGCACGCCCCGCAUUCAACUGAAGGAUGUAGUUAGCUCAUAGAUUACUCGGCCUGCGUGCCACGUAGACUUGGUAGUUUUUAGGGUCAACACAUGUUUACGUACAAUGAGUAAGAAUUAGAAUCUAUUUGAUUGUAAAAUUAAAAUCUAUUUGACUGUUGACUUCUAACUUAAUUGGUUAAGAAUAUUUGCCCUUGCAUCCAAGGUUCCAUGAUCGAACUCCUCUAUAAAUUAACUUAUAGUUUGUAAAAAAAAGAAGGUAAAUUACAUAAUAGCCCCUCAUGUUUGAGGUCUAUUACAACUCCAUAC